Long non-coding RNA from Bombus pascuorum, 2722 nucleotides. RefSeq lists it as uncharacterized. The record is from RefSeq and is a predicted model, not a curated record. NCBI's taxonomy places the organism in Eukaryota, Metazoa, Arthropoda, Insecta, Hymenoptera, Apidae. The transcript is spliced from 2 exons.
GAGUAAAUGAGUUAAAAUCGAAAACAACCUGAAGCACGUUUUGUUAGUAUAUGAAUUUACGUUAACAUUACGUCUUCUAUAAAGGUAACGACGAUACGUGUUAAGGACUCUCAAAAGCCACGAGUUUAGCUUCUACGAUGUGCUGUAGUUUCGGGUGUCGAUAAGGAGCCCGAUAUUCUCCUAAUUGGUCGCUAGCAAAUACGCACGUAUGACCAAUGACCCAACGCGACGCAGCGACAUUAUCCGCGGUGUUUCACAACGCAUAUAGUAUAGUAAUAUGUAAUGACACAUAAGGAUAUCUUACAGUUAGAAGGAUCUGUUUAUGGAGUGAGGGAAGUAAUGAACUUUUUGACAAGGCGACAGACGACUGACGAUGGGUUGAAUAACUCGGCGCUCGGUACUCGGCACUUAUCCCAAAAUCUCGAAAGAGCAACGUCAUUCAGGGAAAAUUUCUACAUAUACAUAUGUAUGUGUAUAUGUAUGCAGUUAAUGAGUAAAAUAGCAUAAUAUUAAUGUUUUUGAAAUAAUUGUUCUAAAGAUUAUCUUUAUCUCUUUUUUUCAAUAUCAAUUCCUGCGCAAGGCAACCGGAAACAAUUAUCGGCCCUGCGUUAAUGUCAAAGGUCGAACCUCCGUCUACCGUAUGAUGUAAUAAUUAGAACUUGUUUUUUAAAACAUUUAUUUUACGCACGUCGCCUGUUCCGUGUCGCAUAACGAUUUAAGGUUAACGAACACAUCGGGUGGUCUCACAUUCGAUUUUCGAUGUAGAUGAGCCCAUUAUUUACUGAACAUGAUCAGGAAUAACCGUGAUUUCCUAAUAAAGUAGGAAGGACAGGCAAAGUAAAGGAAAGGCACGAAAAAAGUGUGUGCUUGCCAGAAAAGGUGGCAAUAUGUAUAUAAAAAAAUCAUGAAUUCUUCUAGAAGGAUGGUAUCAUUAAAAGCGAUAGGUUCAAAACUUAAACACUUAUUUAUAUUUUUGAAAAGGAAUAUAUAGAAUUAGAAAAAAGCACUUUAAAGAAGAAAGUACACAUAUUAAAACAAAAUUAAAACGUAACAGUAACAAAAUCGUAGAAUGCAAUUCUGAUAUUGUCCACAUUGAAUGAUAAAGUGUACUAAAAUAUGGAAAAUGGAUAUAUGUAACAGUUUUAUGAAAUAAAAGUAAAGAUUAGUUAUCAUUGUAUGAACCCAGACGAAGAAACUGAAGAUACAUAUCUGUUGAUGUCCCCUCGAUUUAUCGCUAAAUGCUAUGUACAUGUAUAUAUGUAUAGGUAAUUUAAACAAAAUUUUUUCUUCAUUGUAUCGGAUAAUCAUAAUUUAUAUGUAUUUAUAUGUAUGUUUAACGUUUCAAUGAUAUUGUAAAAAAACUUUUGGUUCCACUAAAUUUCGGUCCCUUCUAUUUUUGUAUUUUUAUCAAAGUAGGAUAAAAUUAACGAAUAAAGUGAAAAUUAAAUACAGAACACAUAUAUAUUGCAUUCGAUCAAACACGUGAAUGUGUAUACUUGUGCCAAAAAUAAUCAGUAUCGAAGAAUAUUAUUUGUAAAUUAUUCGAAAAAUAUGAAAAACAUCACUUACCAGAAGAAAUAUAUAAUCAGUAGUAGAUUUUAAUCUAAGAUGUAUAAUAGAGCAGAUCGUUGGUUAAGCUGUUAGACAACGCGCAUGAAUACGAUAGAAGAAAAACAGAUCCAACUCCAACUCCGGCUGCUGUCAAGGCGACACUGAACAACCCCCUCGCAGCGUUCUGUUAUGGUUAUGACUUGCGUUAGCUGCCGGGUACUAUGAAAAUCAACUUCCCUUUAAGGAGCGUGCGCAGCAUUAUUUAUUUUCCGAUAAUGCGGUCGAUUGUGCCUGUAUAAUGGAACAUUCAUUUUCUUCCUUUCAUUAUGGUUUCAUGCGUGCAAUUUGACAAAUAUAAUAUAAAGAAGUAUAGGAAAAUCAAUUAUUAUUAAUAUUCAAUAAUAUUAUUGUAUAUCACAAUACAAUUUAUAUAAUAAUAUGUACAUAUGUAUGAUAAAGUAAUGUUGUGAUAAUAUCCUGAUGCUUCCUACAUGAAACCAGAUACAAUUUGAAUAUGUCAGUGUUUGAUGAAAAGCAUAUUUCGCCACCUAUGUAUGUGCGUAUGUAAUGCAUUAACGUUUCUCUUAAAUCAUUCAAUAAUUUCGAAUAACUAUAUUUAGUGCAAGAUCGAGUAUUUUCACAACAUUGAAUUAUCAUUUACCGAUGAUUAAAGUCCUUACAUAACUCUCUGGUAUUUCUCCAGAUUAAAUUAAUUAAAAAUCGCUUGGGAUACAAUGAGAUAGAAUUAAUUUUUCAUAACACGAAAUAAACAAUUAUGUGUCAAUAAUAUGUAUAAACGACAAGUUUACAUUUGCAUCGAUAAUUGCAAAAUCAUACUUAUAAUUUCAAAUCCAUUUUUAAACAAUAAUCAAAGUAAAGAUUAUCAAUAAUAGACGUUAAAUAAAUUUUCUAUCUACAAAGGAAUAAUACAUCCUGUUUUAUCUACGUUUCAUCAUUUAACUUUAACCUAUACGUACCUAUACAUACAUAAAUACAAAAUUCUUACGGAUCGUGUCCCUUGGUCUCUUUUCUUCCCCUUUUUCUUUGUAUACUCCACGUAUACUCUUACACAUUUUAUUAUUAUUAUUAUAUCGUGUUAACUGCUUUUUAUGAAUAUUGUAUUAUACAUAUUGUUACAUAUACUUGUGUCAUCUACUUUGAAAUUUGUAAA